This 300-nucleotide ribosomal RNA is filed under the name uncultured Lactobacillus sp. RNAcentral describes it as "bacterial SSU rRNA". It matches the Rfam family "Bacterial small subunit ribosomal RNA", at positions 496 to 795 of the family's 1533-position model. Lineage: Bacteria; Bacillati; Bacillota; Bacilli; Lactobacillales; Lactobacillaceae. The record is from RNAcentral.
AGUAACGGCGGGGCGGAAGCCGCGGUAAUACGGGUGGGGAAAUCGUUGAUCGGAAUUAUUGGGCGUAAAGCGUGCGCAGGGGGCUUAUUAAGUCAGAUGGGAAAGGCCUAGGCUCAACCUUGGAAGGUCAUUUGAAACUGAGAAACUAGAGUGUCGAAGAGGGAAGUAGAAUUCCAGGUGUAGCGGUGAAAGGCGUAGAGAUCUGGAGGAAUACCAGUGGCGAAGGCGACCUUCUGGUCGAAAACUGACGCUGAAGCGCGAAAGCAUGGGGAGCAAACAGGAUUAGAUACCCUGGUAGUC